Molecule: ribosomal RNA, 411 nt
Filed under: uncultured bacterium
Lineage: Bacteria
Description: partial 16S ribosomal RNA
Rfam family: Bacterial small subunit ribosomal RNA
Source: RNAcentral
UGGGGAAUUUUGGGACAAUGGGGGGAAACCCUGAUCCAGCCAUCCCGCGUGUGCGAUGAAGGCCUUCGGGUUGUAAAGCACUUUUGGCAGGAAAGAAACGUCGCGGGUUAAUACCCCGCGAAACUGACGGUACCUGCAGAAUAAGCACCGGCUAACUACGUGCCAGCAGCCGCGGUAAUACAUAGGGUGCAAGCGUUAAUCGGAAUUACUGGGCGUAAAGCGUGCGCAGGCGGUUCGGAAAGAAAGAUGUGAAAUCCCAGAGCUUAACUUUGGAACUGCAUUUUUAACUACGGGCUAGAGUGUGUCAGAGGGGAGGUGGAAUUCCGCGUGUAGCAGUGAAAUGCGUAGAUAUGCGGAGGAACACCGAUGGGCGAAGGCAGCCUCCUGGGAUAACACUGACGCUCAUGCACG